Molecule: ribosomal RNA, 484 nt
Filed under: uncultured bacterium
Lineage: Bacteria
Description: partial 16S ribosomal RNA
Rfam family: Bacterial small subunit ribosomal RNA
Source: RNAcentral
AUUGAACGCUGGCGGCAUGCUUUACACAUGCAAGUCGAACGGCAGCACGGGCUUCGGCCUGGUGGCGAGUGGCGAACGGGUGAGUAAUAUAUCGGAACGUACCCAGAAGUGGGGGAUAACGUAGCGAAUGUUACGCUAAUACCGCAUACGAUCUAUGGAUGAAAGCAGGGGACCGCAAGGCCUUGUGCUCCUGGAGCGGCCGAUAUCUGAUUAGCUAGUUGGUGAGGUAAAGGCUCACCAAGGCGACGAUCAGUAGCUGGUCUGAGAGGACGACCAGCCACACUGGAACUGAGACACGGUCCAGACUCCUACGGGAGGCAGCAGUGGGGAAUUUUGGACAAUGGGCGCAAGCCUGAUCCAGCAAUGCCGCGUGAGUGAAGAAGGCCUUCGGGUUGUAAAGCUCUUUUGUCAGGGAAGAAACGGUAGAGGCUAAUAUCCUUUGCUAAUGACGGUACCUGAAGAAUAAGCACCGGCUAACUACGUG